Molecule: ribosomal RNA, 433 nt
Filed under: uncultured bacterium
Lineage: Bacteria
Description: partial 16S ribosomal RNA
Rfam family: Bacterial small subunit ribosomal RNA
Source: RNAcentral
AACGAACGCUGGCGGCAUGCCUAACACAUGCAAGUCGAACGAGACCUUCGGGUCUAGUGGCGCACGGGUGCGUAACGCGUGGGAACCUGCCCUUAGGUUCGGAAUAACUCCCCGAAAGGGGUGCUAAUACCGGAUAAUGUCUUCGGACCAAAGAUUUAUCGCCUUUGGAUGGGCCCGCGUUUGAUUAGCUAGUUGGUAGGGUAAAAGCCUACCAAGGCGACGAUCCAUAGCUGGUCUGAGAGGAUGAUCAGCCACACUGGGACUGAGACACGGCCCAGACUCCUACGGGAGGCAGCAGUGGUGAAUAUUGGACAAUGGGCGAAAGCCUGAUCCAGCAAUGCCGCGUGAGUGAUGAAGGCCUUAGGGUUGUAAAGCUCUUUUACCCGGGAUGAUAAUGACAGUACCGGGAGAAUAAGCUCCGGCUAACUCCGUG